CCAAAGUGUCAAAGGUACUCCUAGGGAGCCCUUUUUCAUAUGUGUAUGUGUUUUUGGUAUAAAAUAUGUUUGAGAAAAAUAGAGUGUGGGGAUGAGGAAAGAAUUUAUUUAUUAUAUUUUUGUGUUUGACAAGACCUUCAGACUUGUGCCUACGUACCAACAUAAAAAUGAGGGAUCAAAACCUCGUAGUUUGUGGUAUCAAUUUCAAAAUGAGUGGAUUGCUUUUAAUAAAAAUUUAAGUUAAAA
Molecule: long non-coding RNA, 246 nt
Filed under: Lathyrus oleraceus (garden pea)
Lineage: Eukaryota; Viridiplantae; Streptophyta; Magnoliopsida; Fabales; Fabaceae
Description: Pisum sativum (pea) long non-coding RNA (PSAT_LNC014325)
Source: RNAcentral